AAUUGACGGGGACCCGCACAAGCGGUGGAUGAUGUGGAUUAAUUCGAUGCAACGCGAAAAACCUUACCUACCCUUGACAUGGAAGGAAUCCUUGAGAGAUCGAGGAGUGCCCGAAAGGGAACCUUCACACAGGUGCUGCAUGGCUGUCGUCAGCUCGUGUUGUGAGAUGUUGGGUUAAGUCCCGCAACGAGCGCAACCCUCGUCCUUAGUUGCUACCAUUUAGUUGGGCACUUUAAGGAAACUGCCGGUGAUAAGCCGGAGGAAGGUGGGGAUGACGUCAAGUCCUCAUGGCCCUUACAGGCUGGGCUACACACGUGCUACAAUGGCGAUGACAGUGGGCAGCGACCCCGCAAGGGUGAGCUAAUCUCCAAAAGUCGUCUCAGUUCGGAUUGUCCUCUGCAACUCGAGGGCAUGAAGGCGGAAUCGCUAGUAAUCGCGGAUCAGCAUGCCGCGGUGAAUACGUUCCCAGGCCUUGUACACACCGCCCGUCACACCAUGGAAGCUGGUCACACCCAAAGUCGUUAUUCUAACCGUUUGGAGGAAGGCGCCUAAGGUAGGAUUGGUGACUGGGGUGAAGUCGUAACAAGGUAGCCGUAUCGGAAGGUGCGGCUGGAUCACCU
This 620-nucleotide ribosomal RNA is filed under the name Prymnesium parvum. Its description in RNAcentral is "partial Bacterial small subunit ribosomal RNA". It matches the Rfam family "Bacterial small subunit ribosomal RNA", at positions 908 to 1528 of the family's 1533-position model. Lineage: Eukaryota; Haptophyta; Prymnesiales; Prymnesiaceae. The record is from RNAcentral.